AGCCCAAACCAAUAAAGUUUUCUUUAUUGGGGUUGCGGACAUAUCAUAACGAAGAGGUAUCGUAAUUGAAGAGGUUUGGAAAGACCCACCACAGAAGGUAAUAGUCCUGUAUGUUAAACGAGAAGACUUUAGAUAUGAUCCAGAGUACCACGGGACACGUGAAACCCUGUGGGAAGCAGGAGGGACCACCCUCCAAGGCUAAAUACUACCUAGUGACCGAUAGCGUAUAGUACCGUGAGGGAAAGGUGAAAAGAACCCCGGGAGGGGAGUGAAAUAGAACCUGAAACCCUGCACUUACAAGCUGUGGAAGCACAUUUCUUGUGUGACCGCGUACUUUUUGUAGAACGGGCCAACGAGUUACGUUAAGUAGCAAGGUUAAGCACUUAAGGUGCGGAGCCGUAGCGAAAGCGAGUUUUAACUGAGCGUUCAGUUACUUGACGUAGACCCGAAACCGGGCGACCUACCCAUGAGCAGGAUGAAGCGAAAGUAAAAUUUCGUGGAGGUCCGAACCCACGAGCGUUGAAAAGCUCGGGGAUGACUUGUGGGUAGCGGUGAAAUUCCAAUCGAGCCCGGAGAUAGCUGGUUCUCCCCGAAAUAGCUUUAGGGCUAGCCUCAAGGUGAGAGAUACGGAGGUAGAGCACUGAAUGUCCUAGGGGGUAUUGCACCUACCGAAGACUAUCAAACUCCGAAUGCCGUCAUCUUAUACUUGGGAGUCAGACUGUGGGUGAUAAGAUUCAUAGUCGAAAGGGCAACAGCCCAGAUCGUCAGCUAAGGUCCCUAAAUGUAAGUUAAGUGGUAAAGGAUGUGGGAUUGCACAGACAACCAGGAUGUUGGCUUAGAAGCAGCCACUCAUUCAAAGAGUGCGUAAUAGCUCACUGGUCGAGUGAUCCUGCGCCGAAGAUUUCCGGGGCUAAAACUUACUACCGAAGCUACGGCAUCAGUAAUGAUGGGUAGGGGAGCUUCCCAUACGGGUUGAAGCAUGACCGUAAGGACAUGUGGACAGUAUGGGAGUGAGAAUGUUGGCAUGAGUAGCGAGAUGUGGGUGAGAAUCCCACAGGCCGUAAACCCAAGGUUUCCAGGGGAAGGUUCGUCCGCCCUGGGUUAGUCGGGACCUAAGCUGAGGCCGAAAGGCGUAGGUGAUGGACAACAGGUUGAUAUUCCUGUACUACCGAUAACCGUUUGAGAGAAGGGAUGACACAGUAGGAUAAGCUAAGCACACUGUUGGUUAUGUGUGCCCAAGCAUUGAGGCAGUCAAAGUAGGCAAAUCCGCUUUGAUAAUGCUGGGAUGUGAUGGGGAGCGAAAUUUAGUAGCGAAGUAGCUGAUUUCACACUGUCAAGAAAAGUCUCUAUCGAGGUUAAAGGUACCCGUACCGCAAACCGACACAGGUGGGUGAGGAGAGUAUCCUAAGGCCAGCGAGAGAACUGUUGUUAAGGAACUCGGCAAAAUGACCCCGUAACUUAGGGAUAAGGGGUGCCACCAUCAGGUGGCCGCAGAGAAUAGGCCCAAGCGACUGUUUACCAAAAACAUAGGUUUCUGCUAAGUCGCAAGACGAUGUAUAGGAGCUGACGCCUGCCCGGUGCUGGAAGGUUAAGGGGAUCUGUUAGAGCAAUCGAAGCAGUGAACUUAAGCCCCAGUAAACGGCGGCCGUAACUAUAACGGUCCUAAGGUAGCGAAAUUCCUUGUCGGGUAAGUUCCGACCCGCACGAAAGGCGUAACGAUUUGGGCACUGUCUCAACAACAGACUCGGUGAAAUUGUAAUUCCGGUGAAGAUGCCGGAUACCUGCGACAGGACGGAAAGACCCCAUGGAGCUUUACUGUAGCUUGACAUUGGGUCUUGGUACUACAUGUACAGGAUAGGUGGGAGGCUUUGAAACCAGGACGCCAGUUUUGGCGGAGCCAUCCUUGGGAUACCACCCUUGUAGUACUGGGACUCUAACCAUAGGCCAUGAAUCUGGUCUUGGGACACUGUCAGGUGGGCAGUUUGACUGGGGCGGUCGCCUCCCAAAAGGUAACGGAGGCGCUCAAAGGUUCUCUCAGUACGGUCGGAAAUCGUACGUAGAGUGUAAAGGCAAAAGAGAGCUUGAUUGCAAGACAUACAGGUCGAGCAAGGAUGAAAAUCGGACUUAGUGAUCCGGUGGUUCUGCGUGGAAGGGCCAUCGCUCAACGGAUAAAAGCUACCCUGGGGAUAACAGGCUUAUCUCCCCCAAGAGUCCACAUCGACGGGGAGGUUUGGCACCUCGAUGUCGGCUCAUCACAUCCUGGGGCUGUAGUAGGUCCCAAGGGUUGGGCUGUUCGCCCAUUAAAGUGGUACGCGAGCUGGGUUCAGAACGUCGUGAGACAGUUCGGUCCCUAUCCGUCGCAGGCGUAGGAAAUUUGAGAAGACCUGUCCUUAGUACGAGAGGACCGGGAUGGACGUACCUCUGGUGUACCAGUUGUCCUGCCAAGGGCAUGGCUGGGUAGCUAUGUACGGAAUGGAUAAGCGCUGAAAGCAUCUAAGCGCGAAGCCAACUUCAAGAUAAGAUUUCCCACCGCAAGGGUAAGACCCCAGAAAGACUAUCUGGUUGA
This 2566-nucleotide ribosomal RNA is filed under the name Clostridioides difficile. Its description in RNAcentral is "bacterial LSU rRNA". It matches the Rfam family "Bacterial large subunit ribosomal RNA", at positions 266 to 2856 of the family's 2925-position model. The record is from RNAcentral. Lineage: Bacteria; Bacillati; Bacillota; Clostridia; Peptostreptococcales; Peptostreptococcaceae.